CUGAAUAACUGAACAAAUUGCUUCUGGCUUGCACCGGGAAUGUAUCUUUCGAGUGUCUGCCUUAUCAACUUUCGAUGGUAGUUUAUGCACCUACCAUGGUUGUAACGGGUAACGGAUAAUUAUGGUUCCACUCCAGAGAGGGAGCCUGACAAACGGCUACCACUUCUAAGGAAGGCAGCACGCGCGCAAAUUACCCAUUCUCGGAACAAGGAGGGAGUGACAAAAAAUAACGAGACGGGUCUCUUCUGACAGCCGUCAUCUGAAUGAGAACAACAUACAUCCUUUAACAAGGACCUAACGGAGGGCAAGUCUGGUGCCACCACCCGCGGUAAUUCCCCCUCCGCCAGUGUAUAUCUAUGCUGCUGCGGUUAAAAAG
RNAcentral lists this ribosomal RNA (376 nucleotides) under Nematoda sp. Its description in RNAcentral is "bacterial SSU rRNA". It matches the Rfam family "Eukaryotic small subunit ribosomal RNA", at positions 252 to 626 of the family's 1831-position model. The record is from RNAcentral. Lineage: Eukaryota; Metazoa; Nematoda.